Erigeron canadensis is the source of this 309-nucleotide long non-coding RNA. RefSeq lists it as uncharacterized. Lineage: Eukaryota; Viridiplantae; Streptophyta; Magnoliopsida; Asterales; Asteraceae. The transcript has 2 exons. The record is from RefSeq and is a predicted model, not a curated record.
CUUGAGACCUUUUUGAAGAGAAGAAGUGUGUAGAAGAAGAAAACCCUAAGUUAAGGGGAAAACGAGUGAAAGCGAAUCAAUUCCAACUCCAAAAGAGGAAAUAUUAAUUGAUUUUACAAAGAUGGAAUAAGGUUGAAGAAGCAGAAGGAAUCAUUAAUUGAACGGUGAGCGUUUUGCUGACGCAAUCAUCAGUGUUUUUAUUUUUUCAUUCUUUUUGGAUGUUAGUGUGGUGUGGGCUUUUCAUUAAAAUUAAUUAAUGAUUUGAUUGAUUGAUUGAUGGAUGGAAUUAUUAUAUGUGUUUUUUUUUCA